Scylla paramamosain (green mud crab) is the source of this 713-nucleotide long non-coding RNA. RefSeq lists it as uncharacterized. The transcript is spliced from 2 exons. The record is from RefSeq and is a predicted model, not a curated record. NCBI's taxonomy places the organism in Eukaryota, Metazoa, Arthropoda, Malacostraca, Decapoda, Portunidae.
GUGGCGUGGCGGUGCAUCACUUAAGAAUACUCGUGAAACUUUGUCCAGUAGUAGUGUUGGCAUCUAUCAAUAUCAUUACCAUUGGAAAAAUUACAACAGCAAAAAUACUUUUCCUACUGUUGUUGGUGCUGUGUAAUGAUGAUACUAGUGGUAAUAUUAGUGCUCUUAAGUGGUGUAGGCCUGCUUUGAGUGCCUACAGUGCUGGCGAUGUGUGAAAGGGAGUGGAGGACGCUGGAGAGGAGACGGAAUAUGACGAGGAGUAGAGGAAGAAAGAAUGAGGAGACGAAAUAGAAAAAAUAGUAAGAUGAAGAACAAGAAAAAAAGAAGGAAGAAGAAAAGAAACGACAACAACAACAACAACAACAACAGCAGCAGCAGCAACGGGCAACAACAGCAACAACAACAGCAACGGGCAACAACAACAACAACAACAACAACAACAACAACAGCAACAGCAACGGGCAACAACAACAACAACAACAACAACAACAACAACAACAACAACAACAGCAACGGGCAACAACAACAACACCAACGGGCAACAACAAUAACAACAACAACAACAACAACAGCAACGGGCAACAACAACAACAACAACAACAGCAACGGGCAACAACAACAACAACAACAACAGCAACGGGCAACAACAACAACAGCAACGGGCAACAACAAUAACAACAACAGCAACAACAACGGGCAACAACAACAACAAC